AUGGAGAACAAGCUUGUUAAGAAGGAUUACACGGAGGAGUCCAGAGAUGUAUGUGGAUGGAAGUCAGGAGUGUUUCAUGAACCCAAAGACCAGCUGGAAAAUCAAAAAAGCUCAAUGUGCUACUGCGUCACCCUUGUCAGCUCUGGAGAAGUGCUCAUAGUGGAAAGGCUGGUAACGUGUCUGGGUGAACUCCAGUUGCUCUGAAGAACCUUCUCAGGGGUCUCUGCCCUUUCUGAACAGAUCACUGUCUGUUCAGUCACUUACUGCCAUGUUUCUGCAAUUGGUAUCUGUGGUAGCCCACACUCUGUAUGCAAGGUCUUCAAAAGGUGCUAAAUUUAAAGUUAGCCAUCACUGAUGGACUUUUCUGAACUGCCUACUAUGAGGCUGAUCCAUUUCAUAUCUUAUGAGAAAAAAGCAUAGGAAAAGGAUGGAGAUUUUUUAUCUAUGACUUGUACAAUCUAACCAUGCAUUUUUUGUUUUGUUGUUGCUUAUCAGUGACCUUGCCUGAGAAGAAGCAGAUGAUGGUUAGAAGAAAGAAAAGAAAGAAAAGGGUAUAUAUUUUCUGUAGGUCUGUUUGGCCUUUGUGACACAACAUACUGGAAAAAAAGGCACACUUGAAUAGUUUACCUUGAAGACUGAGUAUCCUGAUUUAGCAAAUGCAUGCACUGCAGAGCAGUAUGGGAUAAAACACCCAGUCAUUUCACUGCAGCAGUCACUGUGUUUUGUAGACAGCUCUGCAGAGCAGGUCUCAUCCCAUAUACCUUCUUCCUUUAUCUCCUACCUGCCCAAGAGCCAGCACAGAUUGCCAUGGUGUUAAUUCCAGCCAACUCCUGCAGAAAAUAAGGGCAUAUGACAAGAUUGCACAUAUGUUAAUGACUCAUGCACCCUGCACAUUUUAUUUGUCAUUUUAUAUGUUGUUUGAUGUAGUUAAUAAAUUUUUAUUUUGCAAAAACUGUGAUGGAUGUGUUCUGUUUGAAAAAACUGAUAUGGAACAUCCUUUUCCUAUGCCCAUGCUUCUUGCCAAAUUCAGUAAAAUGUGGUUAACUUGAAAUUCAGGUUUUUUUAGCAGUCAUAAGUGUAACUUACUCAAAGAGCAGAACACUCAAGUUCAAAACAGUACUGCCAAUAACACAUAUCUGAGAUGCUUCUGAGGCUUCUGGGAAUUGUAUUCAGAUUGACUCCUAUAAUUGGUCUUCUGCAUUCAGAAUCAUAAGUAUUUCUACUCUCAGUAAAAGCAUCUUCAUUUUUGGUUUCAGAGGUGUUUUUAGUUUACCAAACAUACAUCAGAAGCCACUGAGCAAUACAUAUAUCUUUGUUUCCAGAUGCCAG
Molecule: long non-coding RNA, 1329 nt
Filed under: Catharus ustulatus (Swainson's thrush)
Lineage: Eukaryota; Metazoa; Chordata; Aves; Passeriformes; Turdidae
Description: lncRNA (ENSCUSG00005000064.1)
Source: RNAcentral